ACGAACGCUGGCGGCGUGCCUAAUACCUGCAAGUAGAACGCUGAAGGCGGAGCUUGCUUCUCUGGAUGAGUUGCGAACGGGUGAGUAACGCGUAGGUAACCUGCCUGGUAGCGGGGGAUAACUAUUGGAAACGAUAGCUAAUACCGCAUAAGAGUAGAUGUUGCAUGACAUUUGCUUAAAAGGUGCAAUUGCAUCACUACCAGAUGGACCUGCGUUGUAUUAGCUAGUUGGUGGGGUAACGGCUCACCAAGGCGACGAUACAUAGCCGACCUGAGAGGGUGAUCGGCCACACUGGGACUGAGACACGGCCCAGACUCCUACGGGAGGCAGCAGUAGGGAAUCUUCGGCAAUGGACGGAAGUCUGACCGAGCAACGCCGCGUGAGUGAAGAAGGGUUUCGGAUCGUAAAGCUCUGUUGUAAGAGAAGAACGAGUGUGAGAGUGGAAAGUUCACACUGUGACGGUAUCUUACCAGAAAGGGACGGCUAACUACGUG
Molecule: ribosomal RNA, 494 nt
Filed under: uncultured bacterium
Lineage: Bacteria
Description: partial 16S ribosomal RNA
Rfam family: Bacterial small subunit ribosomal RNA
Source: RNAcentral